AAUAGAUACCCCGGUAGUCCACGCUGUAAACGGUGGGUACUAGGUGUGGGGUCCAUUCCACGGGUUCCGCGCCGUAGCUAACGCUUUAAGUACCCCGCCUGGGGAGUACGGCCGCAAGGCUAAAACUCAAAGGAAUUGACGGGGCCCCGCACAAGCGGCGGAGCAUGCGGAUUAAUUCGAUGCAACGCGUAGAACCUUACCUGGGUUUGACAUGGAUCGGGAGUGCUCAGAGAUGGGUGUGCCUCUUUUGGGGUCGGUUCACAGGUGGUGCAUGGCUGUCGUCAGCUCGUGUCGUGAGAUGUUGGGUUAAGUCCCGCAACGAGCGCAACCCUUGUUCACUGUUGCCAGCACGUUAUGGUGGGGACUCAGUGGAGACCGCCGGGGUCAACUCGGAGGAAGGUGGGGAUGACGUCAAGUCAUCAUGCCCCGUUAUGUCCAGGGCUUCACGCAUGCUACAAUGGCUGGUACAGAGAGUGGCGAGCCUGUGAGGGUGAGCGAAUCUCGGAAGCCGGUCUCAGUUCGGAUUGGGGUCUGCAACUCG
This 541-nucleotide ribosomal RNA is filed under the name uncultured bacterium. RNAcentral describes it as "bacterial SSU rRNA". It matches the Rfam family "Bacterial small subunit ribosomal RNA", at positions 777 to 1314 of the family's 1533-position model. The record is from RNAcentral.